AUGAACGCUGGCGGCGUGCCUAAUACAUGCAAGUCGAGCGAACAGAUGAGGAGCUUGCUCCUCUGACGUUAGCGGCGGACGGGUGAGUAACACGUGGAUAACCUACCUAUAAGACUGGGAUAACUUCGGGAAACCGGAGCUAAUACCGGAUAAUAUAUUGAACCGCAUGGUUCAAUAGUGAAAGACGGUUUUGCUGUCACUUAUAGAUGGAUCCGCGCCGCAUUAGCUAGUUGGUAAGGUAACGGCUUACCAAGGCAACGAUGCGUAGCCGACCUGAGAGGGUGAUCGGCCACACUGGAACUGAGACACGGUCCAGACUCCUACGGGAGGCAGCAGUAGGGAAUCUUCCGCAAUGGGCGAAAGCCUGACGGAGCAACGCCGCGUGAGUGAUGAAGGUCUUCGGAUCGUAAAACUCUGAUAUUAGGGAAGAACAAAUGUGUAAGUAACUAUGCACGUCUUGACGGUACCUAAUCAGAAAGCCACGGCUAACUACGUG
RNAcentral lists this ribosomal RNA (496 nucleotides) under uncultured bacterium. RNAcentral describes it as "partial 16S ribosomal RNA". It matches the Rfam family "Bacterial small subunit ribosomal RNA", at positions 29 to 507 of the family's 1533-position model. The record is from RNAcentral.